Molecule: ribosomal RNA, 497 nt
Filed under: uncultured bacterium
Lineage: Bacteria
Description: partial 16S ribosomal RNA
Rfam family: Bacterial small subunit ribosomal RNA
Source: RNAcentral
GAUGAACGCUGGCGGCGUGCCUAAUACAUGCAAGUCGAGCGAACGGACGAGCAUCUUGCUUCUCUGAUGUUAGCGGCGGACGGGUGAGUAACACGUGGAUAACCUACCUAUAAGACUCGGCUAACUUCGGGAAACCGGAGCUAAUACCGGAUAAUAUUUUGAACCGCAUGGUUCAACAGUGAAAGACGGUCUUGCUGUCACUUAUUGAUGGAUCCGCGCUGCAUUAGCUAGUUGGUAAGGUAACGGCUUACCAAGGCAACGAUGCAUAGCCGACCUGAGAGGGUGAUCGGCCACACUGGAACUGAGACACGGUCCAGACUCAUACGGGAGGCAGCAGUAGGGAAUCUUCCGCAAUGGGCGAAAGCCUGACGGAGCAACGCCGCGUGAGUGAUGAAGGUCUUCGGAUCGUAGAACUCUGUUAUUAGGGAAGAACAGAUGUGUAAGUAACUGUGCACAUCUUGACGGUACCUAAUCAGAAAGCCACGGCUAACUACGUG